GGAUCAAGUUACUACAAGCUCAUGGUGGAUGCCUUGGCGCAAAGGGCCGAUGAAGGGCGUGGUAAGACUGCGAAAAGCCUCGGAUAGCUGUCUAGCAAGCAUAACCGGGGAUUCCCGAAUGGGGAAACCUAUCCCGAUGAACUCGGGAUAGCUCUAACCUAACCCUUAAGUUAGAGCGGGUAAGCGAGGGAACUGAAACAUCUAAGUACCUCGAGGAAUAGAAAUCAACCGAGAUUCCCUAAGUAGUGGCGAACGAACGGGGAAGAGCCCAAACCUUGUAGGCUUAGUGGACUGAGGUCCUAUGUCUAUAGGGUGUUUUAAGGCGUGUCUGGGAGAGCCUCAGCAAUCCCGAGGAGUAAGAAACCUUUUCUCUAGUCGAAGGUCCCUGGAAAGGGUAACCGUAGAAGGUGAAAGUCCUGUAGGCGAAAGAGAAAUGGCUCCUGAUGCGACCUUGAGUACCGCGGGACACGUGGAAUCCCGUGGGAAUAUGGGGGGACCACCCUCCAAGGCUAAAUACCCUUUGCGACCGAUAGUGAACCAGUACCGUGAGGGAAAGGUGAAAAGAACCCCGGGAGGGGAGUGAAAUAGACCUGAAACCAUGAGCUUACAUACGGUCGGAGCCUCGACAUGAUCGGGGUGACGGCGUGCCUAUUGAAGAAUGAGCCGACGAGUUAAUCUUCGCGGCAAGGUUAAGUUCCUUAAGGAA
Molecule: ribosomal RNA, 706 nt
Filed under: Chloroflexota bacterium
Lineage: Bacteria; Bacillati; Chloroflexota
Description: bacterial LSU rRNA
Rfam family: Bacterial large subunit ribosomal RNA
Source: RNAcentral